GGGGAUUUGGCUCAGUGGUAGAGCGCUUGCCUAGGAAGCGCAAGGUCCUGGGUUCUGUCCCCAGCCCCG
RNAcentral lists this transfer RNA (69 nucleotides) under Rattus norvegicus (Norway rat). It matches the Rfam family "tRNA". Rfam says of the family: Transfer RNA (tRNA) molecules are approximately 80 nucleotides in length. Lineage: Eukaryota; Metazoa; Chordata; Mammalia; Rodentia; Muridae. The record is from Rfam by way of RNAcentral.